Molecule: ribosomal RNA, 107 nt
Filed under: Phycisphaeraceae bacterium
Lineage: Bacteria; Pseudomonadati; Planctomycetota; Phycisphaerae; Phycisphaerales; Phycisphaeraceae
Also listed under: 1 other name
Source: RNAcentral
GUCGGUGAUCACAGGCAUCGGGAAACACCUGUUCCCAUCCCGAACACAGCAGUUAAGCCGAUGCCGCCGAUGAUACUGCAUCGCGGGAAAGUAGGUCAUCGCCGACU